CCCUGGGGAACAGAGCAGGAGAGAAAAACCCAGACAGCACACAGGGCAACUGGCAGCCUCUGUGGCCCUUUUACACACCUGGGUUACGCCUCUACUCUUGGCCGGGUACAUUUUCUCAAGCGUCUUUUAGUUCCCCGGUUCUCAAAGUAGUCAUGGGACCAGCAGCAUCAGGACCAUCUGGGAACUGGUUAGAAAUUCAGACCCUCACCUGCCACCCCCUACCCUCAGUACUAUUGAAUCAGCACCUCUGGGUGGGGCCCAGCAAUUUCUGUUUUAAAAAAUCUGCCAAGCAAUUCCAAGGUGUGCUCAAGUUUGAGACCUUGGCUUUACUUGAGCUUCACCCAAAGUGGGAAGGGGACAGGCUUCCCUGGUGGCUCAGUGGUAAAGAAUCUGUCUGCCAACGCAGGAGACGUGAGUUCGAUCCUUGAUCUGGGAAGAUCCCACACACUUUGGAGCAACUAAGCCCGUGAUCCACAAUUAUUGAGCCUAUGCUCUAGAGCCCAGGAACUGCAACUACUUAAGCCUGAGUGCUCAGCAACAAGAGAAGCCUCCUCGAUGAGAAGAGCUUGCACCCCAACUAGAGAGGAGACCUGUUGACCACAACUAGAGAAAAGCCCACACAGCAGUGAAGACCCAGCACAGCCAAAUAUAUUAAGGCCCGCUGAGAUGUGUUCGAGCCUCACGCAGCAAUGGGACUUGGAUACGCCUGAAACCCUGGCGCUGGGAUGGCCCCGGCUCGGCGCGGAUGCAGCAUGAAGGCCGUCGGAGAGCAAGCGUUGGAAGCCUCCUGAGAUCUGGAACCACAGCCUAGCCCCUGAGGAGAGGCGAUGCGGGAUAUCUCCAGCGGAAAAGACGGGGAGCCCAGUAGACAGGGCGAGAGAGCUCCGCUUUUCAGAGGGUUGGUGAGACUCCUUCCUGGCCUCAGAAGGGACCUGGCUUGGAGACCACCACCAAGGGCCUUCCAGCUCUAACCACACGCUCCAUGAAAAGCCUGCCAUGUGACAACAGCCUCCCGAGCGUCUUUGACUGCAAGCACUGCUCGCCUCAUUUCCAGGAGCCUUUUCUAGUGCAUCGUGGUGCAAAUCCACUUCUCUACAGCCCUGCUCCUCCCUGUGGGCUCCCCUUCCUGCUUCUGUCCGCAGCACUCUCUCCUCCCUGAGCCUCCCAAUUUCUAAACCAUCUGCGUGUAAUCCUAGGGUACUCACCCACGCCAGUGCCAUCCAAACAGUUGACAACCUGUGUAAUCCUCUUAAAUCCAUUCCCUCUGUAUCAGUCUGCAGGGGCUGCCAAAACAAAGUAUCACAGACUGGGGGGCUUAAACAACAGAGAUUUAUUUUCUCACAGUCCCGGAGGCUGGAAGUUCAAGAUCAAGGUGUCGACAGGGUUGUUUCUUCUCUGAGGCCUCUGGCUUGCAGAUGGCUGUCUUCUCCUUAGGUCUUCAUAUGGUCUUCCCUCUGUGCAACCGUGUGUCCUAAUUUCUUCUUCUUACAAGGGCACCGAUUAUAUUGGAUUCAUAUCUGCCCUAAUGACCUCGUUUUAACUUAAUCACCUCUUUAAAGACCCUCUCUCCAAACACAGUCACAAUUGAGGUGCUGUGGGUUAGAACUUGAAGAUGUGAAUGGGGGUGGGGUGCACAGUUCAGCUGGUGCCAGCCUUCUCACUGCGGCUGCUCCAGCUGCAGCCCUGCCAUGCCCCACCUGGUAGCACAGUAGCUC
Molecule: long non-coding RNA, 1715 nt
Organism: Bos taurus (domestic cattle)
Lineage: Eukaryota; Metazoa; Chordata; Mammalia; Artiodactyla; Bovidae
Source: Ensembl